ACUCGACCUUGACGAGUUGAUAAAAACUCAACCGAGCAAGAAAGAUUUGCUGACAGCCAGGCUCUCAAAGACUGGUGGAUAUGACUUAAAGAGCUGUUUAAGCACCAUCAUGGACCGGCUCAUGACAAAUGAAUUAAUGUCCAAUCUGAACAUGAAGGGGAGAGGGGGAAAAAACUGGCUUUGCCGAGACGAAGCUGCUCGAUGUAGUCACAACUAGUGUCUUGGAUACCCAGAAGGGGACCGAAACGAUGGUCCAUGAUGCCAUAAAAAAUAAACUGAAAUAUGCCCCUUGACGGAAGGGAGGAAUAGGAUGGGCAUCACAGGC
Molecule: long non-coding RNA, 325 nt
Organism: Nerophis ophidion (straightnose pipefish)
Lineage: Eukaryota; Metazoa; Chordata; Actinopteri; Syngnathiformes; Syngnathidae
Exons: 4
Source: RefSeq, a predicted model, not a curated record